This is a long non-coding RNA of Entelurus aequoreus (snake pipefish), 1112 nucleotides long. RefSeq lists it as uncharacterized. Lineage: Eukaryota; Metazoa; Chordata; Actinopteri; Syngnathiformes; Syngnathidae. The record is from RefSeq and is a predicted model, not a curated record. The transcript is spliced from 4 exons.
AAGUCUGGCAGGAGAGGAGGUCUCGUCAGACAGCUCAUCUCCCACGUAACCGCGCAGCUCUGAGAGGAGAGGAAGAACAGACUGCGCCAGAUACAAAACAGCACUACGGGCAGAUACUCAGCCAAAGCCUCAUGGAUUGAGCAAGAGGUAACAUUCUCCAACUGAAGAGGGACAGUGGUGUGUUUAAGAGUGUUUACAGGGCUUUUCGGGUUUCCUGAUAUUAUGAGUGCAGGUAUGUGUGAGAAGGAGCAUGUGAAUCUAGAGCACCAGAUACAAGGUCGGACGUGCCUCUUCAUCAGAUACACCGUAUGCUAUGUGUAUAUAGCAACAGACUUAUGAGCCGCUCGAGGCAGCCCCGCACGGAAACCUUUUUAUCAGCCAAAGUGAGGAUGGGAGAAAGGCCAAAUCACAUCAGAUGCAACACCAGCUGCACAUCAAGUUCUCCGCUGAACAAUGAGGCUGCCAUGAGCACCACCUCUGUCUCCCAGCUGAGCCACGCUGCCAGAUCUUAACCAAUAAUUUGGGUCGGAAGAGUCGCAUGGAUGACCAAAGUGCAGCCGGCGUAAUCUAAUUGUCAUUGUAUUGCCUUCCAAUGUAAAAGGCAUCCCUUUUCAGUGUUGUGAGAUGAGUGGAGUGUAGAUGAAUAGGUCUAAGGCUUGUGUGGGCAACUCUAAACUGAUUUAAAGGAGUCUUGUAUUGUAUUAAAAUGCACUUUGGAGUAGUGGCAUUAUUCAGAAUUUACAAUAGAAUGCUGUUGGUACAACACAAUGGAGUGACCAAUGUACAGCAUCAUCUCAUUUUAAUACAAUGGUAUCACGCUAACAAGGUGCUAAGAAUAUGCUGAGAAGUAUUGAAGAGAUCAUUUUUAAAAUGUGAAAACUGUAGAAAAGUAGUAAAUAUUCAGAGAGGCAUUCUGAACAUGUAGUCUAAGUCGUGCUGCCACGACUAGUCGACCAUAGAAAUUAGUCAAAUAUUUUCAUGGAUGUGUCGUGUCACUGUUCACACAUUCUCACCAUGCCCUGCAUUAUUGAGAGCGACAACGGGUGUGUCAUCAAUGCAUUGCAGUGUCCUGACAGAGGUGAAUAGCUCGCGUGGCUAAAGUACCAGGACUA